AGAUUCAUUGGAGUCUUUAGCACAAGGAUAUUUCGGAUUAAUCUUGGAUAUUUUGGAUUUAAAAAACAAAAAAAAAAGAUGACCAUUUACGGGCCGUCACGUAGUCAAUGGGACUCGUGAACAGUGUAAGGAUCAAUCCUUACCAAAGGAUUUUAAAGAUUCUUUUUUGCACAAACUCUAAGAAAAUGGGCUCCACACUCUCUAAGGAUUCCCUUAAGAGCUCCCAUUGUGGAUGCCCUUAGCAUAUAUAUACUUGAACAAACUUACUAAUGAAAAAAAAAAUUAGGACCCUCUAACACUUUGCGUCCGCCCCUGCUCACAGGCACAUCUUUAUGUUACUUUUUAAUGGCUUAUUAACUUGAGAAGACACAAUUUUACGAAAUUUGUUCAGUAGCCUCCCCUUCUGGUCUUAUAAACUCAAACAGACACAAUACAUAGACAUAGAUAUCAUAGCUGAAUGCUUUCAAAGAGUAAACCUUUUUAAAGUCUAUAUGAAAAAUAGUCUAGUUAUAUUUCACGCCUUAUCCGGUUCAAUCAAGUAGAAUACUAAACCAGUACGUGAUUGAGUUCUGGUUUAUCCGGUUCAAUCAAGGCUGAGUAUAAAGCCGUAAGUGAUUAGACCAACUCCAUCGGGAGUCGUAAAUGCUGUUUCUAAAAAAAUAAAGGCAAAGAAAUAAAUGAAAAAGAAAUAGAAAGUAUAGGACCAGUCUUAAUUUUGGGAUUUUUAGGAUUGUUAAGGAUUCAUACGUGGAGGCUUUCUAUUGGACCGCAUGAAUGUCUCUUUCUCUUCUUUUCUUUUCUCUUUUUCCUCUUUCUUCGAUCUCUCCGUCUUCUACGGCGAUUCUUGGGCGAUCUCGCCAACGAUCGUCUUCUUCUUCUUUGAUCGGUUAUCUUGUUCUUCGAUCGGUCAUCUUCUUCUUCUCACUUUGCAAGGAUGAAAGCUCUCUUCGUCCUCUUGUUGCCCGUGUAGACAGAUCUUCACCGCACGAUCAUCUUCUUCUUCUUCUCACUGUUGAGGCUUGAAACGUUGGAUUCGGUCAUCUUCGUCUUCUCACCGUUGAAUCCGAAACCGUUGGACUCGAUCAUGCAUUUGGAUAGAUCCGGAACCAAAUCUCCGGAGGAACUCACUUCGAUCGGGAUCGAGCUUGAAGAGGAAGCUCAAGAUGAUGAUAGAGGCUAUGGAGUUUCUAGAGUUAGCCGUGUCAACAGAGUAGGAAGAUGGGAUCAGCCGAUUACAUUCUUAGAUAUUCAUGAAUGUGAUACCUUUACAAGGUGUGUUUUCUGCUUCCCAACAUCCUCAGUGAUUCCAUUGCAUGACCAUCCAGAGAUGACUGUCUUUAGCAAAAUCCUCUGUGGAUCACUUCAUGUUAAAGCUUACGAUUGGGUCGAACCUCCAUCACACAUGACAAAUCACAACGUUAUCGAUUUUUAUUUUCUUCUCAUCUGGGUGUCUAGUUUUGGUUUAUUUGUGUGAUUGAUAAUAUAAAGAUUUCUUUGCAACUGCUUGUAGCAGCACGGUUGGCGAAAUUGGUUACCGACAAAGUGAUAACACCACAAUCUGAACUACCAGUGUUGUACCCAAAGACUGGAGGCAAUCUCCAUUGUUUCACUGCGCUGACUCCAUGUGCGGUGCUCGACAUUCUCACACCUCCUUACAACGAGAGCGGGGGCAGGUCUUGCAGUUACUACAUGGACUAUCCUUUCUCCACCUUCGGUAUGCAAACUUUCUCCAUCUUCAGAACAGAAGAACAUUAAGUUUACUAUGUUUUUUCUUUGGCCGAUGGUUACUUCUCUUUGGUUUGAUGUUUACUUAUCUAUGCGACUGGUAAUAAUUUGUUCUUGUCCAAAUGAAUCAUUUAGUUUUUUUUCUUCUCUUAAUUUAAUCUUCUAAUGCCUUAUGAUGUAUCAUUUGUAGGCGUCACUUUGUAAUUCCAUUGUGGAGAGGAAAUGGCUACAUCAUGAUGUUUGCUCAAGGUUUGUUAAUAUGCUCUGAUCUUUGUCUCUAAAUUUCAAACUACUGAUGAACUGAUUGGUUAUUGAUAUUAGCUUUGGUCGAGAAGGUUAAUAAUAUUAGCAAUUGAAACGGAAAGUAGUUGUGUUCGAGUUUAGUGAUAGUUGCUUUGGUCAAAUCAGCUUUUAAUUUUACUUUGGUGUUGGUUUUGCAAGGAUGUGUGGUGUGCGUGGGUGAAAGCAAGGCGUUGGCUUUUGCAUUGAUUACGGACCAGAGUCUCUCUCAGAAACAGGUGCAACAUCAACUAAGCAUUCAUUACCGAACACAAUCUUCCAUUGCACAGUUGGCAAGAGGUAAGUACACUUUAGUAUUGCUUUAGUUAGUUGAAAGUGUGUUAGAUUUUGAUUUGUUUAUGAAUUAAAUUGAUUGUAGUAUUGCUUUAGUUAGAUAUUGAUUUGUUUAGGAACUGGAUAUGACUAUGUAUUUAUUUUCGUGGUUGUUUUACUCUGGGUUAGUUGUGUUGAAGUGAUGUGUAUUUAGUUUUAGUGGUUGUUUUAGUUGUACGUAAAUACAUUAAUUACAACAAAACUUCCCUUUAAAUAGUCAACAAAACAUACACUCAACAAACAUACACUUCACUCUUGUUCUUUCAAAACCUCUAAAUUAUGGAUCCAUAUACUCAGCAUUAUAGCUUUCAAAAUAUCUUAAAUAGCCAACAACCAUACACUCAACAACCAUACACUUCUACUUUAAACAUACACUUCACUCUUGUUCUUUCGUGAACCUUGUAUAGACACAGUCUCUGCGUCGGAUGCCUCUGUCUUCGGUCCACAAUGGACUGAAGAUGUCACUGAAGAUGCAGAGACUGUGUCUGACCGUAAAGAGAGACGCAAAUA
This is a long non-coding RNA of Brassica rapa (field mustard), 2847 nucleotides long. RefSeq lists it as uncharacterized. The record is from RefSeq and is a predicted model, not a curated record. NCBI's taxonomy places the organism in Eukaryota, Viridiplantae, Streptophyta, Magnoliopsida, Brassicales, Brassicaceae.